GACGAACGCUGGCGGCGUGCUUAACACAUGCAAGUCGAACGGAAAGACCCUGCUUUUGUUGGGUGCUCGAGUGGCGAACGGGUGAGUAACACGUGAGUAACCUGCCCUUGACUUUGGGAUAUCUUCAGGAAACUGGGGCUAUUACCGGAUAGGAGCUCCUGCUGCAUGUUGGGGGUUGGAAAGUUUCGGCGGUUGGGGAUGGACUCGCGGCUUAUCAGCUUGUUGGUGGGGUAGUGGCUUACCAAGGCUUUGACGGGUAGCCGGCCUGAGAGGGGGACCGGCGACAUUAGGACUGCGGUACGGACCAGAAGCGUACGGGAGGCAGCAGUGGGGAAUAUUGCGCAGUGGGCGGAAGCCUGAUGUAGCAACGCCGCGUGCGGAAUGACGGCCUACUGGUUAUAAACCACUUUCGACUGUGACGAGGCGGGAGUGACGGUAAUGGGUAAAAAAGCAACGGCUAACUACGUG
This 468-nucleotide ribosomal RNA is filed under the name uncultured bacterium. Its description in RNAcentral is "partial 16S ribosomal RNA". It matches the Rfam family "Bacterial small subunit ribosomal RNA", at positions 28 to 507 of the family's 1533-position model. The record is from RNAcentral.